UUUGGAGGGCAAGUCUGGUGCCAGCAGCCGCGGUAAUUCCAGCUCCAAUAGCGUAUAUUAAAGUUGUUGCAGUUAAAAAGCUCGUAGUUGAAUUUCGGGAUCAAUGCGUCGGUCGUGCCUUCGGUACGUACUGGCGUCAUUGAUUCCUCCCUUCUGAAGAACCGUGAUGUCAUUAAUUUGGUGUUACGGGGAAUCAGGACUGUUACCUUGAAAAAAUUAGAGUGUUUAAAGCAGGCA
Molecule: ribosomal RNA, 237 nt
Filed under: uncultured Glomeraceae
Lineage: Eukaryota; Fungi; Glomeromycota; Glomeromycetes; Glomerales; Glomeraceae
Description: partial 18S ribosomal RNA
Rfam family: Eukaryotic small subunit ribosomal RNA
Source: RNAcentral